CCUUAUCAAGAGCGGCAGAGGGACAGGCCCGACGAAGCCCGGCAACCUAAGGUUUUAUACUUGUGGUGCUAAUUCCUGCGGGGAAACCCGAAAGAUGAGG
Molecule: non-coding RNA, 100 nt
Filed under: bovine gut metagenome
Description: SAM riboswitch (S box leader)
Rfam family: SAM riboswitch aptamer (S box leader)
About the family: The SAM riboswitch is found upstream of a number of genes which code for proteins involved in methionine or cysteine biosynthesis in Gram-positive bacteria. The SAM riboswitch acts at the level of transcription termination control. The predicted structure consists of a complex stem-loop region followed by a single stem loop terminator region.
Source: RNAcentral